This 66-nucleotide transfer RNA is filed under the name Loxodonta africana (African savanna elephant). It matches the Rfam family "tRNA". From Rfam's summary of the family: Transfer RNA (tRNA) molecules are approximately 80 nucleotides in length. The record is from Rfam by way of RNAcentral. Lineage: Eukaryota; Metazoa; Chordata; Mammalia; Proboscidea; Elephantidae.
GCUUUCAUGGUUCAGUGGUAGAGUUCUUAUCUUCCAUGUGAGCAACCUGGGUUCGAUUCCCAGGCA